GCACUUUGGGAGGCUGAGGCAGGCAGAUCAUGAGGUCAGAUCAAGACCAUCCUGGCCAACAUGGUGAAACCCUGUCUCUACUAAAAAUACAAAAAUUAGCCAGGCAUGGUGGUGCGUGCCUGUAAUCCCAGCUACUCAGGAGGCUGAGGCAGGAGAAUCCCUUGAACCAGGGAGUCGGAGGUUGUAGUGAGCCGAGAUCACGCCACUGCACUCCAGCCCGGUGAGAGAGUGAGACUCUGUUUCAGAAAAAAAAAAAAAAAAAAAAAAAAAAUCUUUAAUGAAGCGUAUUACCUCACUCCUUCUCCUGACUCUGAAGAGAUUGCCUCGUUGGGCCAGAAAGUAGGCAGGGAAGUCUCUCAGAAGCAAGAGGUAGGUGCCUUUCAUCCUGUGCACAGAAGUCCACACAGAAGAGUUGGAUUCACUGGCCUGACUGUCCUGUAUUCUGAAAUCACAGUGACCACAAAGAGCUACAACAGCUUAAACACAGAAAGCCAUGCCUCUAAAAAGUAUCCAAAUCACCACAUUCUUGUUCCUUUUUUUUACUGUUCAAAUACAUCGUCCAAAAGGAACAGAAAGAAUGUAAGUGUAGAGGGUACUUGGUGUGGCAGGCUUCAUAUUUGAGACUUUGCCUAGUGAUGAAUGACCUGGAAAGUUCACACCUUUAUUCUUUGCUUUUUGUCAUAAACACGCCAGUCUUUAUGAAGUUACAGACACUUUAAUUCUUUGUGUGAAAAAAAGACAGUCCAAAAUAAAUUAGGGUCAUGAAAUCAAACAGAAAUGAUUCUUAUCUCAAAAUGAUAUGUUGAGAUGCUGUCUGCCAAUGCAGAGAUUCUCCCGGAUUCCCCGUGGUAAGCCAGCAAAGGUCAGCCAUCCAUGGUAAUAAACAAAGACCAUCUGCCCCACAGCACCCCUAGUGGGCCUCAACAGCUGCCCAUCUUAUAGUCCCAGCCAAAGCGGUAGGUGUGAGAGCGUCCCCGGAAGACAGAGGGCACAGAGGCAUCUCUGCCAAAGACCAGCCCUUCGCAGCCAGGGAGGAUGAAAGAGCCUUAGGGCUUCAGUCUGGGCUCUGCACACUCCUGGGUGGCCUCUGCUCCCCCUCUACCCCUCCCACUCCUAUCCCACACCUCCUGGAUUGCAUCUGAUUGGGACCAAUAACAAACCAAGCCUGGUUUUGAGGUUUGGGUGGGAUGCUUGGCUUGGUUUUGUUUCCUCAGAGAGAGGCAGCCAGGAGGGCCUGCAAGGAACUGGCACCCAGCUGUGUCUAGGUGGGAGAAUGGGCUGAGGAUGGAGUUAGAGAUGGAAUGAGAGAGGCAGGGGGGAGGUGGCCUUCUGUGGAGGAAAGGCAUCAGGUGCCAGCAAGAGACUAGAAGGGGAGCCCUGACAUCUGUAAGCCCUGACUUAGAGCCUCUCUAAGAUGGCUCGGUGGGCUCUGAGCCUGCAGGGCUUUGGUCUAUGGAUGGGAGGGAUAGGAAGGAAGAAAUGUACUGCAGUGUUCCAGGGCUGCUCUGUGUGGAAGAAACAGGGUUACUAUUCAGGAGGCUGAGGUGGGGAGUUCAAGGCCAGCCUAGGCAACAUAGCAAGACCUUGUCUCAAUAUAAAUUAAUUGAAAUAAAUGUUAAAAUAAAAUAAAAAAGACUGGGCACGGUGGCUCAUGCUUGUAAUCCCAGCACUUUGGGAGGCCAAGGUGAGGGGAUCACCUGAGG
This 1703-nucleotide long non-coding RNA is filed under the name Homo sapiens (human). RNAcentral's name for it is "HSALNT0129869". Lineage: Eukaryota; Metazoa; Chordata; Mammalia; Primates; Hominidae. The record is from RNAcentral.